UGGCUCAAAGGAGUAGAGCACCGGCCCCAUAUGCCGGAAGUGCUGGGUUCAAAACCAGC
This 59-nucleotide transfer RNA is filed under the name Otolemur garnettii (small-eared galago). The record is from Rfam by way of RNAcentral. Lineage: Eukaryota; Metazoa; Chordata; Mammalia; Primates; Galagidae.